GCGGGCGUAGCUCAGUGGUAGAGCCUCAGCUUUCCAAGCUGAUGACGUGAGUUCGAUUCUUGCCGCCCGCU
Molecule: transfer RNA, 71 nt
Filed under: Microlunatus soli
Lineage: Bacteria; Bacillati; Actinomycetota; Actinomycetes; Propionibacteriales; Propionibacteriaceae
Rfam family: tRNA
About the family: Transfer RNA (tRNA) molecules are approximately 80 nucleotides in length. Their secondary structure includes four short double-helical elements and three loops (D, anti-codon, and T loops). Further hydrogen bonds mediate the characteristic L-shaped molecular structure. tRNAs have two regions of fundamental functional importance: the anti-codon, which is responsible for specific mRNA codon recognition, and the 3' end, to which the tRNAs corresponding amino acid is attached (by aminoacyl-tRNA synthetases). tRNAs cope with the degeneracy of the genetic code in two manners: having more than one tRNA (with a specific anti-codon) for a particular amino acid; and 'wobble' base-pairing, i.e. permitting non-standard base-pairing at the 3rd anti-codon position.
Source: Rfam by way of RNAcentral